AGAAUCACUGAGAAGGAAGAGAGAGAAAAGGCAGAGUGAGAAUGACAGGCUUUUACAUACACUUUAAAGUCAACGUCAUUUUUGAUUUAGUUCAUCAGCCUGAAAGGCAUGCAUACACAUCACAAGUGGAAGCAAAAAGGUGAAGGCUGGGAGACAUUUCCUAGUAGGGAAGAAGAUAAAGAGGAAACAAGGAACUGCAUCUGGGCUUGCUGAGAUUUCAGGCCAAGGAGUGCCUGCAUAAUAGACCACUUAAAACUCCUGGAAUUGUAGUGAGCUCAUUUUGACAGAUGGUUAUGAAGCUGUUGGAAAUGGUUUGCUGAGAUGAGUGUGGAAUUCCAAAGCACUGCUUGCUUGCUGAAUUCCAAUGGAUGGUGAACAGCCCGCUUUGGAAAGGGUCUUACUCUGUUGCCCAGUCUGGAAUGCAGCAAUGUGAUCUCAGCUCACUGCAACUUCUGCCUCCUGGGGUCAAGUGAUCCUCCUGCCUCAGAACCCAAGUAGCUGGGAAUAAAGGAGUGCACCAUCACACCCAGCUAACUGUUGUAUAUUUUGUAGAGAUGGGAUUCACCAUGUUACUCAAGCUCAUCUGGAACUCCUGAGCUCAAGUGGUCCACCCACCUUGGCCUCCCAAACUGCUAAGAUUGCAGGCAUGAGUCACCAUGUCCAAACUACAUUUAAAAAUAAUAAAGUAAUGUAUUAUUUCUGUUUAGAAUUUAUAGAAAGAAAUCUUUCUUUCCUUCAAGGAACUUUAAAGUUCUUCUAGCUCUUUAGAUUAUUAGAGGUAAGCAAAACCAAUCCAAUUUCAAAUGACUGGUGUGGUCUAUCAUUUUUUGGAGUCUUGACAAAGGUAACUUAGGAAUUUUAAAUAGAUAGAGCUAAUGAUGAAUUGUUGAAAAUGCUUAGGAAAUAAAAUGACUAUUUAUAGAACCAAAUACAAGCCUUCCAUUAGAAACUAAAUAAAUCAAUGGUUUUACAUAUAUAUAUAUGUACACACACAUGCACACAUGUAAAACCAAUGAGUUAUACGCACACACACACACACAUGUAUAUAUGUAAAACCCAAAGUAAAACAAACAGUAAAUACGUGAAAAUAAUAGCAAAUAUAUAUGUGUGUUAUGUAUAUUAAUGUCUUUAAGUCCACCAACACCACUAUAUAUUUUGUGCAGUUAAGAAAUGUUCUUUAAGCACACGACCAGUUUUUUAACACAAUUUACUAUUUAUGCAGAAUAGCAAAUAUAGUAUGAAACCUAGCAAUAUAAGCAUUUAUGUGAAAUUUGGCUCCAUGCUAAAUCUGACUUCAUGCUUAACUAUAUUAAAACAAAAUUUCCAAAAGUCAAUGUAUUUUUGUAAUAUUUUAUAUUUUAUCUUUAUUAAGACUAAGAGAUUU
Long non-coding RNA from Homo sapiens (human), 1384 nucleotides. The record is from Ensembl. NCBI's taxonomy places the organism in Eukaryota, Metazoa, Chordata, Mammalia, Primates, Hominidae.